AACGAACGCUGGCGGCGGGCCUAACACAUGCAAGUCGAGCGAGAAAGCACCUUCGGGUGUUAGUAAAGCGGCGCACGGGUGAGUAACACGUGGGUAAUCUACCUUCAGGUCUGGAAUAACUCGGGGAAACUCGAGCUAAUACCGGAUAAGACCACACCUCUCGGGGAAGUGGGAAAAGCGGGGGACCUCUUCGGAGGCCUCGUGCCAGAGGAUGAGCUCGCGGUCCAUCAGCUUGUUGGCGGGGUAACGGCCCACCAAGGCUAAGACGGAUAGCUGGUCUGAGAGGAUGAUCAGCCACACUGGAACUGAGACACGGUCCAG
Molecule: ribosomal RNA, 321 nt
Filed under: uncultured bacterium
Lineage: Bacteria
Description: bacterial SSU rRNA
Rfam family: Bacterial small subunit ribosomal RNA
Source: RNAcentral